GACGAACGUUGGCGGCGUGCUUAAUACAUGCAAGUCCACUGAAGCAGUGGUAGCAAUAUCGCUGUGGAGGUGGCGCACGGGUGAGUAACACGUAGGUAAUCUGCCUUCAGGUCUGGCAUAACUCCGGGAAACCGGGGCUAAUAGCAGAUGAUGCAGCGGCUCGACAUCGAGACAGUUGUUAAAGCUAUGGCGCCUGAAGAUGAGCCUGCGUCUGAUUAGCUAGUUGGCGGGGUAACGGCCCACCAAGGCAACGAUCAGUAGCUGGUCUGAGAGGAUGAUCAGCCACACUGGAACUGAGACACGGUCCAGACUCCUACGGGAGGCAUCAGUAAGGAAUAUUGCUCAAUGGGAGAAAUCCUGAAGCAGCAACGCCGCGUGAGGGACGAAGGGCUUUUGCUUGUAAACCUCUGUAGUGAGAGAAAAAAAUCCCAAUCUUUGGGACAUGAUGGUAUCUCAAAAGUAAGCCCCGGCUAACUACGUG
RNAcentral lists this ribosomal RNA (481 nucleotides) under uncultured bacterium. RNAcentral's name for it is "partial 16S ribosomal RNA". It matches the Rfam family "Bacterial small subunit ribosomal RNA", at positions 28 to 507 of the family's 1533-position model. The record is from RNAcentral.